This 153-nucleotide non-coding RNA is filed under the name Streptomyces alboflavus. The record is from RNAcentral. Lineage: Bacteria; Bacillati; Actinomycetota; Actinomycetes; Kitasatosporales; Streptomycetaceae.
AAGAGGGAACCCGGUGGGAGUCCGGGACUGCCCCGCAGCGGUGAGCGGGAACGACCGCCGUCACACGCACUGGGCCCGACGAACAGGGCCCGGGAAGCGACGGCCAGUAGGUGUCCCCCCUCGGGGAGGACGAGCCCGCGAGUCCGAAGACCU